GUUGUAUGGUCAAGUAAUGAAGUGCACAUGGUGGAUGCCUUGGCAGUCAGAGGCGAUGAAAGACGUGAUAGCCUGCGAUAAGCGUCGGUGAGGUGGCAAUAUCCUGUGACCCGGCGAUUUCUGAAUGGGGAAACCCACCUAAGAUAACUUAGGUAUCAUAAUUUAUUUUAUGAGGCAAACCGGGAGAAGUGAAACAUCUCAGUACCCCGAGGAAAAGACAUCAAUUGAGAUUCCCCAAGUAGCGGCGAGCGAACGGGGAGGAGCCGAUCGAAUUUACAGUAGCAAAAUGGCGUGGGAAAGCCAACCAUAGUAGGUGAUAGUCCUGUAUGCGAAACUGUUUAUGAGACAUAUUAAGUAGGGCGGAACACGAGAAAUUCUGUCUGAAGAUGGGGGGACCAUCCUCCAAGGCUAAAUACUCCUGACUGACCGAUAGUGAACCAGUACCGUGAGGGAAAGGCGAAAAGAACCCCUGUUAGGGGAGUGAAAUAGAACCUGAAACCGUGUGCAUACAAGCAGUCGGAGCGGACUUGUUCCGUGACGGCGUACCUUUUGUAUAAUGGGUCAGCGACUUAUAUUCUGUAGCAAGGUUAACCGUAUAGGGGAGCCGUAGGGAAACCGAGUCUUAAUAGGGCGACAUAGUUGCAGGGUAUAGACCCGAAACCGAGUGAUCUAUCCAUGAGCAGGUUGAAAGUGUCGUAACAGACACCGGAGGACCGAACCCACUCCCGUUGAAAAGGUAGGGGAUGACUUGUGGAUAGGGGUGAAAGGCUAAUCAAACUCGGUGAUAGCUGGUUCUCCCCGAAAGCUAUUUAGGUAGCGCCUCGGACGAACACCAUGGGGGGUAGAGCACUGUUUCGGCUAGGGGGUCAUCCCGACUUACCAAACCGAUGCAAACUCCGAAUACCCAUGAGUGAUAUCCGGGAGACAGACGGCGGGUGCUAACGUCCGUCGUCAAGAGGGAAACAACCCAGACCGCCAGCUAAGGCCCCAAAUUCCUAGUUAAGUGGGAAACGAUGUGGGAAGGCACAGACAGCUAGGAGGUUGGCUUAGAAGCAGCCACCCUUUAAAGAAAGCGUAAUAGCUCACUAGUCGAGUCGGCCUGCGCGGAAGAUGUAACGGGGCUCAAACUAGGAGCCGAAGCUGCGGAUUUAAUUGUUUCAAUUAAGUGGUAGGGGAGCGUUGUGUAAGCCUGUGAAGGUGACUCGUAAGGGUUGCUGGAGGUAUCACAAGAGCGAAUGCUGACGUGAGUAACGACAAAACGGGUGAAAAGCCCGUUCGCCGGAAGACCAAGGGUUCCAGUCCAACGUUAAUCGGGGCUGGGUGAGUCGACCCCUAAGGCGAGGCCGAAAGGCGUAGUCGAUGGGAAAUCGGUUAAUAUUCCGAUACUUGUUUAUGAUGCGAUGGAGGGACGGAGAAGGUUAUGCCAGCCUGGCGAUGGUUGUCCAGGUGGAAGGAUGUAGGUAGGCUUAGUAGGCAAAUCCGCUAGGCUAUUACUGAGAUCUGAUAGCAAGCCAGUUUACUGGCGAAGUGGCAAAUACCAUGCUUCCAGGAAAAGCUUCUAAGCGAUAGUCAUAAACAAAUCGUACCCGAAACCGACACAGGUGGUCAGGUAGAGAAUACCAAGGCGCUUGAGAGAACUCUGCUGAAGGAACUAGGCAAAAUGGUACCGUAACUUCGGGAGAAGGUACGCUGCCGGUGGUGAAACCCUCGCGGUGUAAGCUACUGGCAGUCGCAGAUACCAGGCUGCUGCAACUGUUUAUUAAAAACACAGCACUCUGCAAACACGAAAGUGGACGUAUAGGGUGUGAUGCCUGCCCGGUGCUGGAAGGUUAAUUGAUGUGGUUAGCGCAAGCGAAGCUAUUGAUCGAAGCCCCAGUAAACGGCGGCCGUAACUAUAACGGUCCUAAGGUAGCGAAAUUCCUUGUCGGGUAAGUUCCGACCUGCACGAAUGGCAUAAUGAUGGCAGCGCUGUCUCCAGCAGAGACUCAGUGAAAUCGAAAUCGCAGUGAAGAUGCUGUGUACCCGCGGCUAGACGGUAAGACCCCGUGAACCUUUACUACAGCUUUACAUUGAACUUUGACCUAACUUGUGUAGGAUAGGUGGGAGGCUUUGAAGUAGGGACGCCAGUUCCUAUGGAGCCAACCUUGAAAUACCACCCUGGUUAUGUUGGGGUUCUAACUUAGAUAUAACAGUAUCAAGGACAAUGUAUGGUGGGUAGUUUGACUGGGGCGGUCUCCUCCUAAAGAGUAACGGAGGAGUACGAAGGUGCGCUCAGAACGGUCGGAAAUCGUUCAAAGAGUAUAAAGGCAAAAGCGCGCUUAACUGCGAGACCCACAAGUCGAGCAGGUACGAAAGUAGGUCUUAGUGAUCCGGUGGUUCUGUAUGGAAGGGCCAUCGCUCAACGGAUAAAAGGUACUCUGGGGAUAACAGGCUGAUACCGCCCAAGAGUUCAUAUCGACGGCGGUGUUUGGCACCUCGAUGUCGGCUCAUCUCAUCCUGGGGCUGAAGCAGGUCCCAAGGGUAUGGCUGUUCGCCAUUUAAAGAGGUACGCGAGCUGGGUUUAGAACGUCGUGAGACAGUUCGGUCCCUAUCUACCGUGGGCGUUGGAAAUUUGAGAGGAUCUGCUCCUAGUACGAGAGGACCAGAGUGGACGAACCUCUGGUGUUCCGGUUGUCACGCCAGUGGCACUGCCGGGUAGCUACGUUCGGAUGGGAUAACCGCUGAAAGCAUCUAAGCGGGAAGCCCACCUCAAGAUGAGAUUUCCCUAAAGAGCCGUUGUAGACUACGACGUUGAUAGGUUGGGUGUGGAAGUGUAGUGAUACAUGUAGCUAACCAAUACUAAUUGCUCGUUUGGCUUGACCAUACAACACCCAAG
This 2875-nucleotide ribosomal RNA is filed under the name Moraxella sp. RCAD0137. Its description in RNAcentral is "bacterial LSU rRNA". It matches the Rfam family "Bacterial large subunit ribosomal RNA". The record is from RNAcentral. Lineage: Bacteria; Pseudomonadati; Pseudomonadota; Gammaproteobacteria; Moraxellales; Moraxellaceae.